RNAcentral lists this ribosomal RNA (497 nucleotides) under uncultured bacterium. Its description in RNAcentral is "partial 16S ribosomal RNA". It matches the Rfam family "Bacterial small subunit ribosomal RNA", at positions 28 to 507 of the family's 1533-position model. The record is from RNAcentral.
GAUGAACGCUGGCGGCGUGCCUAAUACAUGCAAGUCGAGCGAACGGACGAGAAGCUUGCUUCUCUGAUGUUAGCGGCGGACGGGUGAGUAACACGUGGAUAACCUACCUAUAAGACUGGGAUAACUUCGGGAAACCGUAGCUAAUACCGGAUAAUAUUUUGAACCGCAUGGUUCAAAAGCGAAAGACGGUCUUGCUGUCACUUAUAGAUGGAUCCGCGCUGCAUUAGCUAGUUGGUAAGGUAACGGCUUACCAAGGCAACGAUGCAUAGCCGACCUGAGAGGGUGAUCGGCCACACUGGAACUGAGACACGGUCCAGACUCCUACGGGAGGCAGCAGUAGGGAAUCUUCCGCAAAGGGCGAAAGCCUGACGGAGCAACGCCGCGUGAGUGAUGAAGGUCUUCGGAUCGUAAAACUCUGUUAUUAGGGAAGAACAUAUGUGUAAGUAACUGUGCACAUCUUGACGGUACCUAAUCAGAAAGCCACGGCUAACUACGUG